UGGGGAAUAUUGCACAAUGGGCGCAAGCCUGAUGCAGCCAUGCCGCGUGUAUGAAGAAGGCCUUCGGGUUGUAAAGUACUUUCAGUCGGGAGGAAGGUGGUAAGGUUAAUAACCUUAUCAAUUGACGUUACCGACAGAAGAAGCACCGGCUAACUCCGUGCCAGCAGCCGCGGUAAUACGGAGGGUGCAAGCGUUAAUCGGAAUUACUGGGCGUAAAGCGCACGCAGGCGGUUGAUUGAGUCAGAUGUGAAAUCCCCGGGCUUAACCCGGGAAUUGCAUCUGAUACUGGUCAGCUAGAGUCUUGUAGAGGGGGGUAGAAUUCCAUGUGUAGCGAUGAAAUGCGUAGAGAUGUGGAAGAAUACCGGUGGCGAAGGCGGCCCCCUGGACAAAGACUGACGCUCAGGUGCGAAAGCGUGGGGAGCAAACAGG
Molecule: ribosomal RNA, 429 nt
Filed under: Chloroflexota bacterium
Lineage: Bacteria; Bacillati; Chloroflexota
Description: Chloroflexi bacterium partial 16S ribosomal RNA
Rfam family: Bacterial small subunit ribosomal RNA
Source: RNAcentral